RNAcentral lists this long non-coding RNA (319 nucleotides) under Anser cygnoides (Swan goose). RNAcentral describes it as "lncRNA (ENSACDG00005015749.1)". The record is from RNAcentral. Lineage: Eukaryota; Metazoa; Chordata; Aves; Anseriformes; Anatidae.
AUGGAUGUGAGCCUAGGGAGACUUCACUUGUGUUUGUACAGUACGUUGUACUUACGAAGCGCUGAUCCAGAAUGCUCGAAGAAGCCAUCCGGAAGGAAGAAAGAUUAUGAGUAUCUAGGAACUAGCUGUUUGACAGAGACAGAAAUGCUGAUAAUGAGUGGGUUGUGUCUGUCGUUUUUGGCUGAUCACAACAGAGGUCUGAAGCAAAACAGAAACUCUUGAUAUGUUUGUGUAAAGAGGCAGUAGCAUAAGCACGGGCAGCAGGAGUUCAGCUGAAGUUCAGGGCAGAUGCUGCUAUUAGUUUACACUGCAGGAAAGU